This 253-nucleotide ribosomal RNA is filed under the name uncultured bacterium. RNAcentral's name for it is "partial 16S ribosomal RNA". It matches the Rfam family "Bacterial small subunit ribosomal RNA", at positions 524 to 776 of the family's 1533-position model. The record is from RNAcentral.
UACGUAGGGGGCUAGCGUUGUCCGGAUUUAUUGGGCGUAAAGAGCGUGUAGGCGGCCAGGUAGGUCUGCUGUGAAAACUCAGGGCUUAACCCUGAGCUUGCAGUGGGUACGGGCAGACUAGAGUGCGGUAGGGGAGACUGGAAUUCCUGGUGUAGCGGUGAAAUGCGCAGAUAUCAGGAGGAACACCGGUGGCGAAGGCGGGUCUCUGGGCCGUAACUGACGCUGAGGAGCGAAAGCAUGGGGAGCGAACAGG